AUUGAACGCUGGCGGCAGGCCUAACACAUGCAAGUCGAGCGAGCGGCGCGCGGGUGAGUACUGCCUGGGAAUUGCCCAGUCGAGGGGGAUCACCGUUGGAAACGACUGCUAAUACCACAUACUCUUGGAUCGCAGAGGUGGGAUUAGCUAGUUGGUGAGGUAAUGGCUCACCAAGGCGACGCGCCCUAGCUGGUCUGAGAGGUUGAUCAGCCACACUGGAACUGAGACACGGUCCAGACUCCUACGGGAGGCAGCAGUGGGGAAUAUUGCACAAUGGGGGAAAGCCUGAUGCAGCCAUGCCGCGUGUGUGAAGAAGGCCUUCGGGUUGUAAAGCACUUUCAGCGAGGAGGCGUUACUCGCAGAAGAAGCACCGGCUAACUCCGUGCCAGCAGCCGCGGUAAUUC
This 404-nucleotide ribosomal RNA is filed under the name uncultured bacterium. Its description in RNAcentral is "partial 16S ribosomal RNA". It matches the Rfam family "Bacterial small subunit ribosomal RNA", at positions 30 to 526 of the family's 1533-position model. The record is from RNAcentral.